GUAGUCCACGCCCUAAACGAUGCAUAUUUGGUGUGGGCAGUUCAUUCUGUCCGUGCCGGAGCUAACGCGUUAAAUAUGCCGCCUGGGGAGUACAGUCGCAAGGCUGAAACUCAAAGGAAUUGACGGGGGCCCGCACAAGCGGUGGAGCAUGUGGUUCAAUUCGACGCAACGCGAAGAACCUUACCUGGGCUCGAACGGCUGAUCAACGGCGGUGGAAACAUCGCUACCCCGCAAGGGGGUUCAGUCGAGGUGCUGCAUGGCUGUCGUCAGCUCGUGUCGUGAGAUGUUGGGUUAAGUCCCGCAACGAGCGCAACCCUUGUCCUGUGUUGCCAUACCGCAAGGUGGAACUCGCAGGAGACCGCCAGGGAUAACCUGGA
RNAcentral lists this ribosomal RNA (377 nucleotides) under uncultured bacterium. RNAcentral's name for it is "bacterial SSU rRNA". It matches the Rfam family "Bacterial small subunit ribosomal RNA", at positions 790 to 1167 of the family's 1533-position model. The record is from RNAcentral.